RNAcentral lists this ribosomal RNA (807 nucleotides) under uncultured bacterium. Its description in RNAcentral is "bacterial SSU rRNA". It matches the Rfam family "Bacterial small subunit ribosomal RNA", at positions 8 to 796 of the family's 1533-position model. The record is from RNAcentral.
AGAGUUUGAUCAUGGCUCAGAACGAACGCUGGCGGCGUGCCUAAUACAUGCAAGUCGAGCGAGAAAGUCUUCGGAUGAGUACAGCGGCGCACGGGUGAGUAACGCGUAGGUGACCUGCCUUCUAGUGGGGAAUAACAUCGGGAAACCGAUGCUAAUACCGCAUAUUUUGAAUGUAAUUGAAACGCAUUCAACAAAGAUGACCUCUACUUGUAAGUUAUCGCUAGAUGAAGGGCCUGCGUGCCAUUAGCUUGUUGGUGGGGUAAAGGCUUACCAAGGCAUUGAUGGCUAUCCGGUCUGAGAGGAUGAUCGGACACACUGGAACUGAGACACGGUCCAGACUCCUACGGGAGGCAGCAGUAGGGAAUAUUGCGCAAUGGGGGAAACCCUGACGCAGCAACGCCGCGUGAGUGAGGAAGGUCUUAGGAUCGUAAAACUCUGUUCUUAGGGAAAAAUUGUUUGGGAGGUAAUAUUUCCCAAAUUUGAUGGUACCUAAGGAGAAAGGACCGGCUAACUUCGUGCCAGCAGCCGCGGUAAUACGAAGGGUCCAAGCGUUGUUCGGAAUUAUUGGGCGUAAAGCGCGCGCAGGCGGAUCUACAAGUCAGAUGUGAAAUCUCGGGGCUCAACCUCGAAACUGCGUCUGAAACUGUAAAUCUAGAAUAUCGGAGGGGGUAGGGGAAUUUCACGUGUAGGGGUAAAAUCCGUAGAGAUGUGAAGGAACACCGGUGGCGAAGGCGCCUACCUGGACGAUUAUUGACGCUGAGGCGCGAAAGCGUGGGGAGCAAACAGGAUUAGAUACCCUAGUAGUCC